RNAcentral lists this long non-coding RNA (252 nucleotides) under Lathyrus oleraceus (garden pea). RNAcentral describes it as "Pisum sativum (pea) long non-coding RNA (PSAT_LNC037238)". Lineage: Eukaryota; Viridiplantae; Streptophyta; Magnoliopsida; Fabales; Fabaceae. The record is from RNAcentral.
AAUGGUUUGAAUGAGUUAUGUUUUUUUUAGUGUUUUGAAAUUGGUUUGAAUAUGCUUAAGAUGUAUUAGCAUUUAUUAAGAAAAGAUUUUGAAAAUCACUUGACAAAAUUAAAGGUUUAUUGAGAAGGUGGUUCAAGUUUGAAAAUAAGAAGGUUUUUUUGAAAAAAGGAGAAGAUUUUGAAAAUUAAAGAAGGGGAGGAGAUGAAGAGACUAUCCUAGAACAUAAAGUAAAAUCUAGGGAGGAAAGAUCUA